GUGAACCUGCGGAAGGAUCAUUA
RNAcentral lists this non-coding RNA (23 nucleotides) under Phytophthora cinnamomi. RNAcentral also lists the same sequence under 179 other names. Lineage: Eukaryota; Oomycota; Peronosporomycetes; Peronosporales; Peronosporaceae. The record is from RNAcentral.